GGUGUAAUAGUGAAUAGUGAAUUAAGUUUCUACUGCCAAGACCUUUGUUGACCAGUUUGUAUUAUACAAUGAUUUAUCCAUAUCUCUCAUAUUGUAACAUUAUCUGGGUCAGUACAUUCAAAAGUGAUAUCAGCUAUUUACAUAUACUAUAGAAACGUUUUGUCAGAAUGGUCACUGGGUCAAACUAUUUUUCAAGCUCCCGUCCCUUAUUUCAGAACCUUCAGAUUUUCAAUGUAAAUGAAAUUAAUCAGUUGCAGAUAUGUCAGUUUAUUUUUUCUUAUAUACACAAUUUACUUCCUGACUGCUUUCAAAACACAACCCAAUUAAAUUUUCAAGUACACCAUUACUGUACAAGAUCAGCCAAUAAUCUCCAUACAGCCUUUUAUAGAACAUCACUUGGAGAGUUUACCAUAUCUUACCGAGGACCUACGAUCUGGAAUGGCCUACCAUCUUAUUUAAAGAACUGUAAUCAACUCAGUUGUUUAAAAAACAACUAAAGGAUUAUCUCCUCUUAAUGGAUAAUUAAAAUAUGUAAAGUUAUGGUUCUUUACUCAAUUAUUGGGUCAAUUAUUGUUUAUAUUCUUUCUUUACAACUCUAUUGUGAAUAUGUAUGUGUAUAUGUAUGUAUGUAUGUGUGUAUAUGUAUGUAUAUAUGUGUAUGUAGGCGUAUGUAUGUAUGCAAAGUCUUUUCUUAUGAUUUUGUUUGUAAUUUAGAGGGAAAGUACUGUAUAUAAGCCCCUAUGGGCUUACUCACUUUCCCUGCGCAUGUUUUUUUGUUCUCACUUACAUGACACGCAUCCCUGUUUGCUUCCUUCUUUCACAUAUGUGUGCAAAUAAUAAUAAAAAAAAAGAAUAAAUAAAUACUGCAUAUUUGGCAGUGCUGAAUCAAUAUACAACUCCUAAGCCAUUAAGACUUUUUUUUUUUCAAAAAAGCUGUUUCCCAUCUGAAUAAUGGUAAAAACAAGUGAUUUCUAUGUAUAGUUUUAUAAAGUAUAGUUAUACAAAAUACUGUAUCUAUUGGUAGAAUAUAUUAUUAUUGGUAGAAUGAUGUAGCUAUUGAUAUUAUAAGUAGAAUGCUGUAGCUAUUGGUAGAAUAUAUUUUUAUUGGUAGAAUGCUGUAGCUAUUGAUAUUAUUGGUAGAAUGCUGUAGCUAUUGAUAUUAUUGGUAGAAUGCUGUAGCUAUUGAUAUUAUUGGUAGAAUGCUGUAGCUAUUGAUAUUAUAGGUAGAAUGCUGUAGCUAUUGAUAUUAUUGGUAGAAUGCUGUAGCUAUUGAUAUUAUAGGUAGAAUGCUGUAGCUAUUGAUAUUAUUGGUAGAAUGAUGUAGCUAUUGAUAUUAUAGGUAGAAUGCUGUAGCUAUUGAUAUUAUUGGUAGAAUGCUGUAGCUAUUGAUAUUAUAGGUAGAAUGAUGUAGCUAUUGAUAUUAUAGGUAGAAUGAUGUAGCUAUUGAUAUUAUAGGUAGAAUGAUGUAGCUAUUGAUAUUAUAGGUAGAAUGAUGUAGCUAUUGAUAUUAUUGGUAGAAUGCUGUAGCUAUUGAUAUUAUAGGUAGAAUGAUGUAGCUAUUGAUAUUAUUGGUAGAAUGCUGUAGCUAUUGAUAUUAUAGGUAGAAUGCUGUAGCUAUUGAUAUUAUUGGUAGAAUGCGGUAGCUAUUGAUAUUAUAGGUAGAAUGAUGUAGCUAUUGAUAUUAUAGGUAGAAUGAUGUAGCUAAAUAUGUUAUCUGAAUUAUACAAUGGGAAAGACAAACAAGAUUUAGUUCCCUUUUAAAAUGUUUCUUGUUGUUU
Long non-coding RNA from Astyanax mexicanus (Mexican tetra), 1778 nucleotides. RefSeq lists it as uncharacterized. Lineage: Eukaryota; Metazoa; Chordata; Actinopteri; Characiformes; Acestrorhamphidae. The transcript has 3 exons. The record is from RefSeq and is a predicted model, not a curated record.